AUGGAAGGAAAAACCCUGCCUGGGUUUACUGGCCGGACCUACUGGAAAGAAAGAAAGAAAGAAAGAAAGAAAGAAAGAAAGGAAAGAGGAAAGAGGAAAGAGGAAAGAGAAAGGAAAGAAAAAAGGAAAGGAAAGGAAAGGAAAAAGGAAAGGAAAGGAAAAAGGAAAGGAAAAAGGAAAGGAAAGGAAAAAGGAAAGGAAAAAGGAAAGGAAAGGAAAAAGGAAAGGAAAAAGGAAAGGGGAAAGGAAAGGAAAGGAAAGGAAAAAGGAAAAGAAAAAGGAAAGGAAAGGAAAGGAAAAAGGAAAGGAAAGGAAAGGAAAGGAAAGGAAAAAGGAAAGGAAAGGAAAAAGGAAAGGAAAGGAAAAAGGAAAGGAAAGGAAAAAGGAAAGGAAAGGAAAAAGGAAAGGAAAGGAAAAAGGAAAGGAAAGGAAAAAGGAAAGGAAAGGAAAAAGGAAAGGAAAGGAAAAAGGAAAGGAAAGGAAAAAGGAAAGGAAAGGAAAAAGGAAAGGAAAGGAAAAAGGAAAGGAAAGGAAAAAGGAAAGGAAAGGAAAAAGGAAAGGAAAGGAAAAAGGAAAGGAAAGGAAAAAGGAAAGGAAAGGAAAAAGGAAAGGAAAGGAAAAAGGAAAGGAAAGGAAAAAGGAAAGGAAAGGAAAGGAAAGAGGUACAACAGGUUGCAGUCAGGCAGCCGCAGCAGAAAUUCUCAUUUCUGUGACCUCCAACGCCUGGGAGGGGGGGACGAGGGAAAGGAGACCUGCCCAUGCAUUGCGCCCCCUCCCUGCCCGAUCCUCUCCCGAGCGCAGCUCUGCGGAAUAGUCCCCCCCACCUUUCCAUCUCCCCGGCUGGCAGCGGGUGGGCGCCACGCACGCACGCGCGCCAAGGGGGCUUUGGCGGACCCUGCUCUUUCCAGGCAACUUCGCUCCCGGUCUUGGCGACUCGGUCGCUUUCUGAUUCCCGGCGGCUGGGAUGCCGGGGCCCGAGAUCCCCCGUGGCCGCUCCUCCUCCUCCUCCUUUUCUCUGGCCGCCCUCGGNNNNNNNNNNNNNNNNNNNNNNNNNNNNNNNNCUGCCGCUGCUUGCCUGGCCCGUGGCCGAGGCGUCCUCGACGGCUCUCUUCCUCUUUGCCCUCUUCCUCCUCCUCCUCCUCCACGGGAUCCUCUGGCACGUUUGCGGGGAUCCGGAGAGCUGCUCCCUCUGAAAAGCACAGGCGCUCCUUCCGGCGAGGGGCUGCGGGCGCAAAGGUUGCCAAGGGCAAGAAGAGGAAGCAAUUGUCAGAAUAGCAUUAAAUAUUUCCUCUCCUGGAGGAAGGCGAUUGUAAAAACUCCCAGAGAAUUGCGGGUGGAUGAAGGCUGAGAUUUAUCUGCCUCUGCUAAGCUUCCAGUGCCCUCAACUGGCUCAUCCAUCCAUGCUGAAAAUGCAAUUCUUUUAAAAAACCUCGUUUAUGAGUGUGGGUUAUUCUGUACCCAUGUUUAAAAACAAAACAAAACCAGGAAACAGCUCAAUAAUGCUGCAAAAUAUUGUGCCUGUCUUGCCAGCAGGAAAAAGGAUGCCAAGCUUUACAUAAAAGGGCAGGCUGAAAGUUGACCACGCCCAUGGCAUCAGUCAAGAUGGUCUAACAUAGCCUCUUCUCACUACCCUUCAACAAAAAGUGGCACCUCAUAGAGAAUCCCAGAAGCGGCCUNNNNNNNNNNNNNNNNNNNNNNNNNNNNNNNNNNNNNNNNNNNNNNNNNNNNNNNNNNNNNNNNUGAAGUUGAGGCUCCAAUCCUUUGGCCAUCUCAUGAGAAGAGAAGACUCCCUGGAAAAGACCCUGAUGUUGGGAAAGAGUGAAGGCAAGAGGAGAAGGGGACGACAGAGGACGAGACGGUUGGACAGUGUCAUCGAAGCGACCAACAUGAAUUUAAACCAACUCCGGAAGGCAGUGGAAGACAGGAGGGCCUGGUGUGCUCUGGUCCAUGGGGUCACGAAGAGUCAGGCACGACUUAACGACUAAACAACAACAACCUUUUUCUUAGUGCAUGUUUGUGUUCUGUGCUUGUCAAGUUGGAGCCAAUUUAGAGCGAGGGGCUUUCGAGGUAAGUGAGAUACUUAAGGAUUGCUUUUGCCAGCUCCACACCCAAGCACACGACGGUCUUGGUCACCUUCUAGUGAGGCAGCCCCGGGUUUCUCUGUGCAACCGAUUUAGAGGCGGCUGAGCAGGAGGCAGGGGGACCUCUUUGCGGGGCGUGACUGCCAUCUGGUGGCCAGCAGUGAUUCGGACGCAAAGAUCUUGGCAACUUCAUA
Pogona vitticeps (central bearded dragon) is the source of this 2275-nucleotide long non-coding RNA. The record is from Ensembl. NCBI's taxonomy places the organism in Eukaryota, Metazoa, Chordata, Lepidosauria, Squamata, Agamidae.